CGCCACCCUCUCUCUCACGUAG
RNAcentral lists this microRNA (22 nucleotides) under Mus musculus (house mouse). RNAcentral describes it as "mmu-miR-7040-3p". The record is from miRBase by way of RNAcentral. Lineage: Eukaryota; Metazoa; Chordata; Mammalia; Rodentia; Muridae.